GUUUUACCCCUAUCAAUCUGUUUUUUGCAAAUAAGAUGCCAAUAGGGUUUGGGAGUUACAGGUUUUGUGAAUACGCUCGCGUAGCUAAAGUGUAGCAUGUUCCAAACAACUCAAAGAGUUACUGUGAACACAGUUUAAGUCUGACUGAUUGACAAACGUAUCUCUGACUCUUUUGUCAGGCAUGUUGCACCUUUGAUGCGCCUUAUGAGAUAUGUUCUAAAAUAGCUGGUCGUUUUUAUGAAUGUUAAAGCAAUUUUGAAAGGAAAGUUUGUUCCCGCCUGCAGCUACAGUUAAAGGGUGGAGGAGAGCAGAGGCGUAAAUAACAGAGGAGCCAGUUCUGUCAUUUCAAGAGGCAGAAACGAGUCAAAACAGAGGCCGUCUUGAAGGAGAGAUGGCAGCGAUCCAGAGACGCAGUUUGAGUAAGGAGCUGUCGGAGCGUCCGGGAAGGAGGAGUUUUUCCAGCGUCAGGAGAACCAGGCGGGACGUCACUUUAUGGAUUUAAGCCCCAAUGACCAUUUAGACGGGUUGGACAUGAAGACUGAACGGGUAAAUCUGCCAAUAGAAGAAGA
This is a long non-coding RNA of Oryzias melastigma (Indian medaka), 569 nucleotides long. RefSeq lists it as uncharacterized. Lineage: Eukaryota; Metazoa; Chordata; Actinopteri; Beloniformes; Adrianichthyidae. The record is from RefSeq and is a predicted model, not a curated record. The transcript has 3 exons.